This 424-nucleotide ribosomal RNA is filed under the name uncultured bacterium. RNAcentral describes it as "partial 16S ribosomal RNA". It matches the Rfam family "Bacterial small subunit ribosomal RNA", at positions 360 to 776 of the family's 1533-position model. The record is from RNAcentral.
AAUAUUUUACAAUGGGGGGAACCCUGAUCCAGCCAUGCCGCGUGUGUGAAGAAGGUCUNUGGAUUNUNAAGCACUUUUAGUUGGGNGGAAGAGUUGUAGGCUAAUACCUUGCAAUUUUGACGUUACCAACAGAAUAAGAACAGGCUAACUUCGUGCCAGCAGCCGCGGUAAUACGAAGGGUGCAAGCGUUAAUCGGAAGUACUGGGGGUAAAGCGCGCGUAGGUGGUUCGUUAAGUUGGAAGUGAAAGCCCCGGGCUUAACCAGGGAAUUGCUUUCAAAACUGACGAGCUAGAGGUCGGUAGAGGGUGGUGGAAUUUCCUGUGUAGCGGUGAAAUGCGUAGAUAUAGGAAGGAACAUCAGUGGCGAAGGCGACUACCUGGACUGAUACUGACACUGAGGUGCGAAAGCGUGGGGAGCAAACAGG